Molecule: ribosomal RNA, 612 nt
Filed under: Enterococcus faecium
Lineage: Bacteria; Bacillati; Bacillota; Bacilli; Lactobacillales; Enterococcaceae
Description: bacterial SSU rRNA
Rfam family: Bacterial small subunit ribosomal RNA
Source: RNAcentral
GGAGCUUGCUCCACCGGAAAAAGAGGAGUGGCGAACGGGUGAGUAACACGUGGGUAACCUGCCCAUCAGAAGGGGAUAACACUUGGAAACAGGUGCUAAUACCGUAUAACAAUCAAAACCGCAUGGUUUUGAUUUGAAAGGCGCUUUCGGGUGUCGCUGAUGGAUGGACCCGCGGUGCAUUAGCUAGUUGGUGAGGUAACGGCUCACCAAGGCCACGAUGCAUAGCCGACCUGAGAGGGUGAUCGGCCACAUUGGGACUGAGACACGGCCCAAACUCCUACGGGAGGCAGCAGUAGGGAAUCUUCGGCAAUGGACGAAAGUCUGACCGAGCAACGCCGCGUGAGUGAAGAAGGUUUUCGGAUCGUAAAACUCUGUUGUUAGAGAAGAACAAGGAUGAGAGUAACUGUUCAUCCCUUGACGGUAUCUAACCAGAAAGCCACGGCUAACUACGUGCCAGCAGCCGCGGUAAUACGUAGGUGGCAAGCGUUGUCCGGAUUUAUUGGGCGUAAAGCGAGCGCAGGCGGUUUCUUAAGUCUGAUGUGAAAGCCCCCGGCUCAACCGGGGAGGGUCAUUGGAAACUGGGAGACUUGAGUGCAGAAGAGGAGAGUGGAA